This 57-nucleotide transfer RNA is filed under the name Salmo salar (Atlantic salmon). It matches the Rfam family "tRNA", at positions 9 to 63 of the family's 71-position model. From Rfam's summary of the family: Transfer RNA (tRNA) molecules are approximately 80 nucleotides in length. Their secondary structure includes four short double-helical elements and three loops (D, anti-codon, and T loops). Further hydrogen bonds mediate the characteristic L-shaped molecular structure. tRNAs have two regions of fundamental functional importance: the anti-codon, which is responsible for specific mRNA codon recognition, and the 3' end, to which the tRNAs corresponding amino acid is attached (by aminoacyl-tRNA synthetases). tRNAs cope with the degeneracy of the genetic code in two manners: having more than one tRNA (with a specific anti-codon) for a particular amino acid; and 'wobble' base-pairing, i.e. permitting non-standard base-pairing at the 3rd anti-codon position. Lineage: Eukaryota; Metazoa; Chordata; Actinopteri; Salmoniformes; Salmonidae. The record is from Rfam by way of RNAcentral.
AGCUCAGUUGGUAGAGCAUGGUGUUUGCAAUGCCAGGGUUGUGAGUUCGAUUCCCAC